This 253-nucleotide ribosomal RNA is filed under the name uncultured bacterium. RNAcentral's name for it is "partial 16S ribosomal RNA". It matches the Rfam family "Bacterial small subunit ribosomal RNA", at positions 524 to 776 of the family's 1533-position model. The record is from RNAcentral. RNAcentral also lists the same sequence under 1 other name.
UACGAAGGGGGCUAGCGUUGUUCGGAAUUACUGGGCGUAAAGCGCACGUAGGCGGGUCGUUAAGUCAGGGGUGAAAUCCCGGAGCUCAACUCCGGAACUGCCUUUGAUACUGGCGAUCUAGAGGUCGAGAGAGGUGAGUGGAAUUCCGAGUGUAGAGGUGAAAUUCGUAGAUAUUCGGAAGAACACCAGUGGCGAAGGCGGCUCACUGGCUCGAUACUGACGCUGAGGUGCGAAAGCGUGGGGAGCAAACAGG